AUUGAACGCUGGCGGCAUGCCUUACACAUGCAAGUCGAACGGUAACGGGCCUUCGGGUGCCGACGCGUGGCGAACGGGUGAGUAAUACAUCGGAACGUGCCCGAUCGUGGGGGAUAACGAGGCGAAAGCUUUGCUAAUACCGCAUACGAUCUACGGAUGAAAGCAGGGGACCGCAAGGCCUUGCGCGGACGGAGCGGCCGAUGGCAGAUGAGGUAGUUGGUGGGAUAAAAGCUUACCAAGGCGACGAUCUGUAGCUGGUCUGAGAGGAUGAUCAGCCACACUGGGACGGAGACACGGCCCAGACUCCUGAGAGAGGCCGCAGUGGGGAAUGUUGGACAAUGGGCGCAAGCCUGAUCCAGCGAGGCCGCGUGCAGGAUGAAGGCCUUCGGGUUGUAAAAUGCUUUUGUACGGAACGAAAAGCCUUCUUUUAAUACAGGAGGGUCAUGACGGUACCGUAAGAAUAAGCACCGGCUAACUACGUG
This 482-nucleotide ribosomal RNA is filed under the name uncultured bacterium. Its description in RNAcentral is "partial 16S ribosomal RNA". It matches the Rfam family "Bacterial small subunit ribosomal RNA", at positions 29 to 507 of the family's 1533-position model. The record is from RNAcentral.